GAUGAACGCUGGCGGCGUGCCUAAUACAUGCAAGUCGAGCGAACGGACGAGAAGCUUGCUUUUCUGAUGUUAGCGGCGGACGGGUGAGUAACACGUGGAUAACCUACCUAUAAGACUGGGAUAACUUCGGGAAACCGGAGCUAAUACCGGAUAAUAUUUUGAACCGCAUGGUUCAAAAGUGAAAGACGGUCUUGCUGUCACUUAUAGAUGGAUCCGCGCUGCAUUAGCUAGUUGGUAAGGUAACGGCUUACCAAGGCAACGAUGCAUAGCCGACCUGAGAGGGUGAUCGGCCACACUGGAACUGAGACACGGUCCAGACUCCUACGGGAGGCAGCAGUAGGGAAUCUUCCGCAAUGGGCGAAAGCCUGACGGAGCAACGCCGCGUGAGUGAUGAAGGUCUUCGGAUCGUAAAACUCUGUUAUUAGGGAAGAACAUAUGUGUAAGUAACUGUGCACAUCUUGACGGUACCUAAUCAGAAAGCCACGGCUAACUACGUGCCAGCAGCCGCGGUAAUACGUAGGUGGCAAGCGUUAUCCGGAAUUAUUGGGCGUAAAGCGCGCGUAGGCGGUUUUUUAGUCUGAUGUGAAAGCCCACGGCUCAACCGUGGAGGGUCAUUGGAAACUGGAAAACUUGAGUGCAGAAGAGGAAAGUGGAAUUCCAUGUGUAGCGGUGAAAUGCGCAGAGAUAUGGAGGAACACCAGUGGCGAAGGCGACUUUCUGGUCUGUAACUGACGCUGAUGUGCGAAAGCGUGGGGAUCAAACAGGAUUAGAUACCCUGGUAGUCCACGCCGUAAACGAUGAGUGCUAAGUGUUAGGGGGUUUCCGCCCCUUAGUGCUGCAGCUAACGCAUUAAGCACUCCGCCUGGGGAGUACGACCGCAAGGUUGAAACUCAAAGGAAUUGACGGGGACCCGCACAAGCGGUGGAGCAUGUGGUUUAAUUCGAAGCAACGCGAAGAACCUUACCAAAUCUUGACAUCCUUUGACAACUCUAGAGAUAGAGCCUUCCCCUUCGGGGGACAAAGUGACAGGUGGUGCAUGGUUGUCGUCAGCUCGUGUCGUGAGAUGUUGGGUUAGGUCCCGCAACGAGCGCAACCCUUAAGCUUAGUUGCCAUCAUUAAGUUGGGCACUCUAAGUUGACUGCCGGUGACAAACCGGAGGAAGGUGGGGAUGACGUCAAAUCAUCAUGCCCCUUAUGAUUUGGGCUACACACGUGCUACAAUGGACAAUACAAAGGGCAGCGAAACCGCGAGGUCAAGCAAAUCCCAUAAAGUUGUUCUCAGUUCGGAUUGUAGUCUGCAGCUCGACUACAUGAAGCUGGAAUCGCUAGUAAUCGUAGAUCAGCAUGCUACGGUGAAUACGUUCCCGGGUCU
This 1371-nucleotide ribosomal RNA is filed under the name uncultured bacterium. Its description in RNAcentral is "bacterial SSU rRNA". It matches the Rfam family "Bacterial small subunit ribosomal RNA", at positions 28 to 1381 of the family's 1533-position model. The record is from RNAcentral.